GACGAACGCUGGCGGCGCGCUUAACACAUGCAAGUCGAACGGAAAGGCCUGCUUUCCCUUGUGGAUUGCGGGUACUCGAGUGGCGAACGGGUGAGUAACACGUGAGUGAUCUGCCCCCAACUUGGGUAUAAGCCUGGGAAACUGGGUCUAAUUCCCGAUAGGACUGCAGGGUGGUGCCUGUGGUGGAAAACGAUUUUCUAGUGGUUGGGGAUGAGCUCGCGGCCUAUCAGCUUGUUGGUGGGGUAAUGGCCUACCAAGGCGGCGACGGGUAGCCGGCCUGGGAGGGUGGACGGCCACAUUGGGACUGAGAUACGGCCCAGACUCCUACGGGAGGCAGCAGUGGGGAAUAUUGCACAAGGGGCGGAAGCCUGAUGCAGCGACGCCGCGUGGGGGAUGACGGCCUUCGGGUUGUAAACUCCUUUCGACCGCGAGGAAGCCACCUGGUUGGAAGGGUGGUGACGGUAGUGGUAGAAGAAGCACCGGCUAACUACGUG
Molecule: ribosomal RNA, 494 nt
Filed under: uncultured bacterium
Lineage: Bacteria
Description: partial 16S ribosomal RNA
Rfam family: Bacterial small subunit ribosomal RNA
Source: RNAcentral